AAUUUCAGUUAUUGUAGGUGGAAAUAUUUUUCACCAGAUUGUGGUAUAUUGUGUAAUUGAUGAUUACUGAUAUUUACCACUAAACAUUUAAUCUUUCCAGUGCUCCCUAUAUUAAACUUUUUUAAGCAGUCAUAUUACUACAUAAGUAAUAAACACUGGGAUUAUAAAAAUUGGCUGUCGUGUUUGUAUUCCAGAUGCUGAGCUAACAGUUUUUUGGGGGGGGAAGGUUAGUUCAUAAUGAAAAUGACUGUUAGACAGAGUCUUUCUGAUUGCAAUCCAGGCUGAUUUUCUAGAACAAUCACAGAAAUGCAGUCUCUGGAGGAAUGGAAUGUUAACUAUGACCUCAAGAACCUACAAUAUCACGUAACAAAGGCAACAGUUCUGAGAAGCAAGCUGUUUUUUUUAAACUGAAUUGUUGGAUGAUGUUGAUGAGAAUUUAAUUUCAGAGCUCAAAGACACUUGGCAAGCAUUUCAACUUCCUGUCUACACAGAAGUUGACAAAGAUGAUGUUCCCGAUUGAUUUGAAAAUGAUGCUAAUGGUCCUGGCCAUCAUGCUGAAAUAAAUAGAGACUGUACAACAUGCUCUCAGUGAUGAAGAAGCUGCAGAUUCUGCUGAGGAAGAAGUGACAGAAAAAAUCUUACUAUAAUGCAGAGAGGCAACCUCUUCCUUCAGUACUUGAAGUAACAGCAUGAUACCAACCUCACUGAAAUAUUGUUGAUGAAGUGACACCAUGAUGGCACAAUGAGGAGAAACUCUCAUCUAAAUAUAAUCUGUCAGAUUGUUUUCCAGCCAUUAUAAAUACGAGGACUGCUCUAUAUACCAUUGUGCUAUAUACCCUCUGGAUACAUCUACACUGUAGGGUUUUUCCAAGGAACGCAUUUGCUCUUCCGCUUUUUUUUUGUGUAAGAUCAAAUGUGCUCUUUCGGGAGCCCAGUAUGACUCGUUCUACGAGGGACAAAGGCUCCACUGAAAGAGAAGGCUUUUCCACCAUUUGGCCCCAUCUAGACUGGGUCAAAUGGUGGAAAAGCCUCUUCAGGAAAAGCUAUCGGAAAAAGCUAUGCAAAUUGCACAGUGCAAGUUGUGUAGCUUUUUUCCCAAAAAACCCUAUAGAGUAGACCUAGCCUCAAUGGAUUAUUCUGGGAGGGUUCUGUGGCCUGUAUUCCACAAGAUAUCAAACUAGAAGAUCACAAUGAUCUCUUCAGCUACAUGGAAUCUAUACAUCUAUUAAUAUUACAGUCUAGAAUAUGAAACCAUGUGUUACUUUAUAAGUAUGCUAGAAAGAUUAUAUUUUAUUGGUGAAUGUCAAUUUUAUCCAUAUACACACAAACCGAUAAAAAUAUAUCCAUUGAUUAUCAUGUACAUUUACAGAUAGGCAAAAUAAGAAAAUUUCUGCUUCAGAACUUAGUAUAGUGUGUUUUAUAGAUAAUUACUUUUUGUGUUUUGACAUGUUGAUAGAUUUUGUGUUUAAGAAUUCUGAAACUUUAACUUUUGAAUCUCAGUGUCAACUGAAAAGAAACAAUUGCCUGACUCCCACAUUGUCUGACCUCCCCCAUAAUUCCAAUAUGAAAAUUAAAAUGAUGAAUAUUUAAAAAGU
Non-coding RNA from Pelodiscus sinensis (Chinese soft-shelled turtle), 1595 nucleotides. NCBI's taxonomy places the organism in Eukaryota, Metazoa, Chordata, Testudines, Trionychidae. The record is from RefSeq and is a predicted model, not a curated record.